GAUGAACGCUAGCUACAGGCUUAACACAUGCAAGUCGAGGGGCAGCAUGGUCUUAGCUUGCUAAGGCCGAUGGCGACCGGCGCACGGGUGAGUAACACGUAUCCAACCUGCCGUCUACUCUUGGACAGCCUUCUGAAAGGAAGAUUAAUACAAGAUGGCAUCAUGAGUCCGCAUGUUCACAUGAUUAAAGGUAUUCCGGUAGACGAUGGGGAUGCGUUCCAUUAGAUAGUAGGCGGGGUAACGGCCCACCUAGUCUUCGAUGGAUAGGGGUUCUGAGAGGAAGGUCCCCCACAUUGGAACUGAGACACGGUCCAAACUCCUACGGGAGGCAGCAGUGAGGAAUAUUGGUCAAUGGGCGAGAGCCUGAACCAGCCAAGUAGCGUGAAGGAUGACUGCCCUAUGGGUUGUAAACUUCUUUUAUAAAGGAAUAAAGUCGGGUAUGCAUACCCGUUUGCAUGUACUUUAUGAAUAAGGAUCGGCUAACUCCGUGCCAGCAGCCGCGGUAAUACGGAGGAUCCGAGCGUUAUCCGGAUUUAUUGGGUUUAAAGGGAGCGUAGAUGGAUGUUUAAGUCAGUUGUGAAAGUUUGCGGCUCAACCGUAAAAUUGCAGUUGAUACUGGAUAUCUUGAGUGCAGUUGAGGCAGGCGGAAUUCGUGGUGUAGCGGUGAAAUGCUUAGAUAUCACGAAGAACUCCGAUUGCGAAGGCAGCCUGCUAAGCUGCAACUGACAUUGAGGCUCGAAAGUGUGGGUAUCAAACAGGAUUAGAUACCCUGGUAGUCCACACGGUAAACGAUGAAUACUCGCUGUUUGCGAUAUACAGCAAGCGGCCAAGCGAAAGCGUUAAGUAUUCCACCUGGGGAGUACGCCGGCAACGGUGAAACUCAAAGGAAUUGACGGGGGCCCGCACAAGCGGAGGAACAUGUGGUUUAAUUCGAUGAUACGCGAGGAACCUUACCCGGGCUUAAAUUGCAGAUGAAUUACGGUGAAAGCCGUAAGCCGCAAGGCAUCUGUGAAGGUGCUGCAUGGUUGUCGUCAGCUCGUGCCGUGAGGUGUCGGCUUAAGUGCCAUAACGAGCGCAACCCUUGUUGUCAGUUACUAACAGGUUCCGCUGAGGACUCUGACAAGACUGCCAUCGUAAGAUGUGAGGAAGGUGGGGAUGACGUCAAAUCAGCACGGCCCUUACGUCCGGGGCUACACACGUGUUACAAUGGGGGGUACAGAGGGCCGCUACCACGCGAGUGGAUGCCAAUCCCAAAAACCUCUCUCAGUUCGGACUGGAGUCUGCAACCCGACUCCACGAAGCUGGAUUCGCUAGUAAUCGCGCAUCAGCCACGGCGCGGUGAAUACGUUCCCGGGCCUUGUACACACCGCCCGUCAAGCCAUGGGAGCCGGGGGUACCUGAAGUGCGUAACCGCGAGGAGCGCCCUAGGGUAAAACUGGUGACUGGG
This 1447-nucleotide ribosomal RNA is filed under the name uncultured organism. Its description in RNAcentral is "SSU rRNA". It matches the Rfam family "Bacterial small subunit ribosomal RNA". The record is from RNAcentral.